UGGGGGAUAUUGCACAAUGGGCGAAAGCCUGAUGCAGCGACGCCGCGUGGGGGAUGAAGGCUUUCGGGUUGUAAACCUCUUUCGCUAUCGAACAAGGCCCGCUUAGGGUGGGUUGAGGGUAGGUGGAGAAGAAGCGCCGGCUAACUACGUGCCAGCAGCCGCGGUAAUACGUAGGGCGCGAGCGUUGUCCGGAAUUAUUGGGCGUAAAGCGCACGCAGGCGGUCUGUCAAGUCGGAUGUGAAAUCCCCGGGCUCAACCUGGGAACUGCAUUCGAAACUGGCAGGCUAGAGUCUUGUAGAGGGGGGUAGAAUUCCAGGUGUAGCGGUGAAAUGCGUAGAGAUCUGGAGGAAUACCGGUGGCGAAGGCGGCCCCCUGGACAAAGACUGACGCUCAGGUGCGAAAGCGUGGGGAGCAAACAGG
This 420-nucleotide ribosomal RNA is filed under the name Chloroflexota bacterium. Its description in RNAcentral is "Chloroflexi bacterium partial 16S ribosomal RNA". It matches the Rfam family "Bacterial small subunit ribosomal RNA", at positions 355 to 776 of the family's 1533-position model. Lineage: Bacteria; Bacillati; Chloroflexota. The record is from RNAcentral.